AUGGCCAACGAGGUCUCGGGUGCGCAGCCUCUCGAGGACCCCGAGCCCUUGAACAAUGAACAAGGAAAUUUCGGAGUCCUUGUUUCACUGCCUCCGAGGACGUGGGAGCCACCACCACCGUUGCUUACUUCCACAACUAAAAGUCCUAGAUAUCAGACUUCAGUGGCUAUAAGAAAAACUAAAGCUCUGUUUCCACAGGCGAGUAAAUGCAGCCUGACUGAAGAACGUAAGCUCUGUUUCCUCAAGCUAUGUAUUAGGUUGCAUAUAUAUAACAAAGUGAGGUCCUCAUCCUGGUUGGUUUGGCAUGGCCACAUCCUCAUGGCCAAUAAGUUGUUGCGCUAG
RNAcentral lists this ribosomal RNA (342 nucleotides) under Triticum aestivum (bread wheat). RNAcentral describes it as "partial small subunit ribosomal RNA". The record is from RNAcentral. Lineage: Eukaryota; Viridiplantae; Streptophyta; Magnoliopsida; Poales; Poaceae.